Molecule: long non-coding RNA, 211 nt
Organism: Mytilus californianus (California mussel)
Lineage: Eukaryota; Metazoa; Mollusca; Bivalvia; Mytilida; Mytilidae
Exons: 3
Source: RefSeq, a predicted model, not a curated record
UGGUACACUAAUUGAUUGUUCCGGAAGGAGUUUUGAUGAAAUACCGCAUACAGAUAUUUCUUCAACUACAACAAUUUUAAGUCUUCGUAGAAAUAACUUAACAACAGUAAGAACAAAUGCGCUUUCUGGUUUAACAUCCCUUAUAAUCUUAAAUUUAUCGGAUAACAAGUUAAUAACUUUACCAGAUGGUCUGUUUUCUAACAACACUAAA